AUACGUAGGUGACAAGCGUUAUCCGGAUUUACUGGGCGUAAAGGGCGUGUAGGCGGUCUUGCAAGUCAGAAGUGAAAUUCCUGAGCUCAACUCGGGCGCUGCUUCUGAAACUGCAGGACUUGAGUGCUGGAGGGGAUAGCGGAAUUCCUAGUGGAGCGGUAAAAUGCGCAGAUAUUAGGAAGAACACCGGUGGCGAAGGCGGCUAACUGGACAGUAACUGACGCUGAGGCGCGAAAGCGUGGGGAGCAAACAGGAUUAGAUGCCCUGGUAGUCCACGCCGUAAACGAUGAAUACUAGGUGUAGGGGGUAUCGACUCCCUCUGUGCCGCAGUUAACACAAUAAGUAUUCCGCCUGGGGAGUACGGCCGCAAGGUUGAAACUCAAAUGAAUUGACGAGG
This 397-nucleotide ribosomal RNA is filed under the name uncultured bacterium. RNAcentral's name for it is "partial 16S ribosomal RNA". It matches the Rfam family "Bacterial small subunit ribosomal RNA", at positions 523 to 918 of the family's 1533-position model. The record is from RNAcentral.